CUCUAGGAAUUUCAACACGUCUAGGAAUGACUUUAGAUCACCUAGAACUUAUUUGGCUCAACCUAGGCAUAGGCACAACCCGAACGUGGUAUGUCACUAUUGCAACCGGGUAGGUCACAUAGCACCCGUGUGUUUUUCAAAACAUAGGGAUUUAUCUUUUGGCUAUGAUUAUUAUUAGCCUAACCCCCAAGGACCCAAAAUGGUUUGGGUACCAAAAACCUCUCCAUAGGUAUUUUUGCAGGUGUGCUUGAAGACUACAAUAUUGUAGUAGAUGCACCAAGCACGACACCUUAUUGCAUCAAGGGGAAAUUUCGGUUAGCUAUUCAUUUUGAUUAAACCGAAUUAUGCCAACGAUUAAUAUAAAAAAAAUUGUUGUUAUUUCGGUUCUAAUUGUUGAUAUGUGCCAGCUGUUGAUAUUAACUUAUUGGUUGUUAACUUGAUUCUCACUUUGAAAAAUGUUGAUGUACUUAAUUGUAAGUUGAUAUGUGAGAUUUCAUUGUUGACCAUCCUUGUUGGUUCACAUGCUGAAAAUCUAUUUUUUUUACUAGUAUCAAUUAUUAAAUGAUUGAUCCAUGUUUUGAUAAUUAUUUUUGGUGUUAAAUCAUGUUUUGAUAAUCUAGUUCAAAUGACAAGUGAUAUCAAUUAUGUUUAUUGAUGCAUGUUUUGAUAAAUG
Molecule: long non-coding RNA, 673 nt
Filed under: Nicotiana benthamiana
Lineage: Eukaryota; Viridiplantae; Streptophyta; Magnoliopsida; Solanales; Solanaceae
Description: long non-coding RNA (NBEN_LNC008129)
Source: RNAcentral